Non-coding RNA from Myodes glareolus (Bank vole), 1176 nucleotides. The record is from the annotation of a RefSeq genome assembly. NCBI's taxonomy places the organism in Eukaryota, Metazoa, Chordata, Mammalia, Rodentia, Cricetidae.
AGUGAGAAGCUUCAAUAAGAUUCUGAAAGAGACUUGCCUUGUGAGUUUGGUGUACUCAAAAACCAAGCGUCCUUUUUCCUUAUGAACAUGCUUCUUGACUUCUGCUCAGUUCUGCUACUUCUUUUAAUGUUCAGAAGGAGCAAUGGAGACUCAGUGACUCAGACAGAAGGCCAGGUUACUGUCACAGAGGGAUUGCCUGUGAAGCUGAACUGCAACUAUGAGACUAGUUACACAAGUCCUUUCCUUUUCUGGUAUGUGCAACAUCCCAGGAAAGCUCCCCAGUUACUUCUGAAUAGCUUCACAGACAAGAAGACAGAGCACCAAGGGUUCCAUGCCACUCUCCAUAAGAGCAACAGCUCCUUCCACCUGCAGAAGUCCUCAGUGCAGCUUUCGGACUCUGCCCUGUACUACUGUGCUCUGAGUGACACAGUGAGGGAGACUGCAGGGGAAGCUGCACACAAACCAAGGGUGUAGAGAGGGCUGAGGGAAGUGGCCUUGAGAGGGAGGAUUGUGUGCCUUCUCUACAUGGGGUUUAACCAGGCUCCUGAAAAACAGCAACAGAUUUUAGGUCAAAUUCCUAGAAAACAAGGAAUUUGUGGAUCUAACAGGAUAAGAUGGAAGUCAUUACCAGAGACAACAUAGGCCUUGAUCUCCUGACACAAUGUUUUCUCCCUAAGUGGAAGACUUUUACCAGAAAACAUCUCCAGGAAAACUUGGACAUGGGAUUUAUCUCUACUGAGAUAUCUUACAAAAUUUAGUUAUUUAAAUUCUCUAGAAAAUCUCUUUUCUUACCCCAAAGAUGUAUGACCAAAUGAAAAAAAAAUAGACUUUUUUAAAAACUCUGCUUCAAUUUCACUCCAGAAGUUAUUUACAUUUUUCCUCCCCUUGGCUUAUGUUACACAGGGUUAAGUCUAUCUUAUUGUAGAAGCUAGGGGGCCCACUUGUUCAUCCCUGUUACCUGACUAGCUUAAUCCUGAAAUAACCACACAGAAACUGUAUUAAUUAAAUCACUGCUUGACCCAUGAGCUCUAACUUCUUAUUGGCUUCCUCUUACUGCUGUAGAAAGUCUUACAGCUUGUGGCUACCUGCCUACUGGGGUGUGAAUUCUUCUUAUAUAUAUAUGCUGCUGCCUUGACCCCUUCUUUUCCGGCUGCUCUUUUGGAUUGCUGUGUUCGA